ACGUAUGGGGCGAGCGUUGUUCGGAAUUAUUGGGCGAAAAGGGCGUCUAGGCGGGGGAUUAAGUUAGAUGUGAAAGCUAUGGGCUCAACCCAUAAAUUGCAAAUAUGACUGGUUCUAUUGAGUUCGGGAGAGGAGAGCGUAAUUCCAGGUGUAGCGGUGAAAUGCGUAGAUAGAUGGAAGGAGACCAGUGGCGAAGGCGGCUUUCUGGCCUAGAUUUGAUGCUUGAGCGCGAAAGCGAGUUGAGCGGACAG
Molecule: ribosomal RNA, 251 nt
Filed under: uncultured prokaryote
Description: partial 16S rRNA
Rfam family: Bacterial small subunit ribosomal RNA
Source: RNAcentral